CAGAGACAGUUUUAACUUAGCCAUUCCUAAUUUAUCUCAAGCGUUUUCAAUUCAUCUUCACUGCUCUGUGCACACAGGAACAGCAGAUUGCCAUCCCUGGGGAACAGAACGCAACCGGGGAUCUAGAGAGCUGUCACAUUCCAAGAAAUAUUUAAAUUGUGCUGGUUUUCUUCUGGAGAGCUGAGCCCAGGGAAUGAAAACUCUCCAUCCAGUCGUAGCUUUGCGGGCAAUAGAUCAGAGGAUAUUGCCAGGCUCCUAAUGGAUUAUUGUUAUCGGGCAGGUUUUCUCUGAAGAGUCCUGAUGUCUCCCAGAUCCUAGGCUAAUAUCCAAAGGGAUUGGAGGUCAGAUCAGUUGUACACACAAAGCCACUUUGGAUCUGUCUCCAAAACGGGAACUCCCUUCACAGAAUGCUACAACAAGGUUGAAGCAUCAGUCCAUCUGGUAAGAGAGAGAUACGUUUCAUUUCUUUUCUAUGGUAAGAAUUAAAUACAUGAUCCUUUCAGACAGUAGUGGUCUGACAGGGAGCAGAAGCUCUGAGUUAAAAGUUACAAAAUGUUUUCUGCUUUAAGAUUAUUUUCAUGAUGUCUUUUACCUUAUAUUGUAGCAGAAAAAUAAGAACACUAAGUUCUGUUUGUCACGCUAAAAUUGUAUCGGAAGUAGAGAAAACUAGAGCUCCUCAAGUGAUGAAUGGAUGUGUGUUUAUGUGAUGCUUAAUACUAUAACUCUGGUCAAGAUGAAGACUAUUGAAACUAUAGCGAUUUAAUCUGUGUGUUUAUGUUUUCCUCUAUCCAAUAUUGUAGUGAAUGAUCACCCACUCACCACCAAUAAGUAUGCCUUCGGGAUUAGUGACAAACUUUUGGAGCUUUCUAAUUUCCUUCAUUUUCAGAAUGGGGAAAGCUGUAGAUAAGAACGCUGGUGAAUUUGUUUAUAUAUGGAUUUUCCUUUUAACACUAAAGGACCAAAUGUGUCUAAGUGGGCAAUGUGUAUGGUUUGUCGUUCUUAUCUUCCGACCUGUACUGCUAAUCAAUAAGUACACAAAAAGCUCUACACAUUAUCAGCUGUCCAUGAAGUCAUCUGUAUCACAAGAAAAAAAUCAGUAUGCAUUUAUAUAUUCACAUGUGUAUAUAUUGAUAUAUAUUAUAUGUGUCUACACACGUGUGUGUGCCCAUGAAGGUAAAUAUAUUUAUUCAAGUAAAUUUCAUAGGUGAGUGUAUAUGCAGAAUUGUAUGUGAACCUUUGCACUUAAUUACACAAUGACGUGUAUAUAAUAUCUCAUUUACAUGCUAUAACAAUGUAAAUCCACAUAGACUACUGGCUUUCUGUUUUCAAUUUUGUAACUCCACUCUUUUAACUAAGCAUUAACUUAGAAACACUGAUAUGAAUUUCAAAAGAAAUAAGAGCUGCAUUUGAAUAUAAAUCCAAUCUGUCAAUUUUAUUUAGUUUGGCUACUCAAUUCCAUCCAUAGUUAUGUGUCCAUCUAGUUUGAAUGGAAUCCUUUUAUGAUUUAUACACCAGAAUAUCAUUCCUAGCUACAAAAUAUAAUUUGCAAUGACUAAGUCAUGUAAGCACAUACACAAAUGCACAUAUAUGUACAUACAUACAUGCACACAUGUAAACUCACACCUGGAUUCCAAAGAUAGAAAAUUGCAAGCACAGCAAAUGAGUCACAGUGCGAAUCUGCUGCUAUAGAACCUUGCAGGCUUUUAGACUCUCACACUUUGACUUUUGCUAGCCAUGUCAACGGUACUAAUAUUGCCUUGUGUCCACACUCUCUACUUCUCCCUUCUGCUCCAAAUGUCAAGUUCACUGUAUAUAGCUCUCUCUUAUCUCCAGUCUCAGACAUGAUCCUGGUAAAAACAUAUUUUCCCAAUUUUCUUAUCA
Long non-coding RNA from Rattus rattus (black rat), 1881 nucleotides. RefSeq lists it as uncharacterized. The record is from RefSeq and is a predicted model, not a curated record. The transcript is spliced from 3 exons. NCBI's taxonomy places the organism in Eukaryota, Metazoa, Chordata, Mammalia, Rodentia, Muridae.